Molecule: ribosomal RNA, 305 nt
Filed under: uncultured bacterium
Lineage: Bacteria
Description: partial 16S ribosomal RNA
Rfam family: Bacterial small subunit ribosomal RNA
Source: RNAcentral
ACAGCAGCCGCCACGGUAAUACGUAGGUGGCAAGCGUUGUCCGGAAUUAUUGGGCGUAAAGGGCUCGCAGGCGGUUUCUUAAGUCUGAUGUGAAAGCCCACGGCUCAACCGUGGAGGGUCAUUGGAAACUGGAAAACUUGAGUGCAGAAGAGGAAAGUGGAAUUCCAUGUGUAGCGGUGAAAUGCGCAGAGAUAUGGAGGAACACCAGUGGCGAAGGCGACUUUCUGGUCUGUAACUGACGCUGAUGUGCGAAAGCGUGGGGAUCAAACAGGAUUAGAUACCCGAGUAGUCCCUGUCUCUUAUAC